RNAcentral lists this long non-coding RNA (208 nucleotides) under Lathyrus oleraceus (garden pea). Its description in RNAcentral is "Pisum sativum (pea) long non-coding RNA (PSAT_LNC002209)". Lineage: Eukaryota; Viridiplantae; Streptophyta; Magnoliopsida; Fabales; Fabaceae. The record is from RNAcentral.
CUUGGAAGGAUAAGGCCCAGGUGCUCGAAAUGGAAAAUGAAGAACUUCAGAGACAGUUAAAGGAGCAGAGUGGAGAAGAUCGUGCAGGUAAACGUCCAAGGGUGCAAGAGGAUUUAUUUUCCUCAGGCACAACAGAUUACUCCCAGAUUCCACAGUCCUCAGGUGCAUGGAAAGGUCUUGUAGACAGUUUGGUGAAGGAGAAAGCUUU